AUUUACAGAAAGAAUGUUAGUUAGUUAGUUAGUUAGUGUACUUACACUGUCCUCCUAACAGCAGACAUCCAGUCACAGUGGAGGAAGAGCAGGAAAACGGGCUGUUACAGAGUUGCUUUCUGUAUUCACAGUGGAUUGGGUAAAAAAGUUCUCUGCCUAAAAGGACAUGAGCUGAACACCUGCUGAACUCUGCUCCCACAUCUUCUCCAGGAGACGUGAGGGAGGGUGACUCCUCAGCCG
This 240-nucleotide long non-coding RNA is filed under the name Astyanax mexicanus (Mexican tetra). RNAcentral describes it as "lncRNA (ENSAMXG00005015499.1)". The record is from RNAcentral. Lineage: Eukaryota; Metazoa; Chordata; Actinopteri; Characiformes; Acestrorhamphidae.